RNAcentral lists this ribosomal RNA (384 nucleotides) under uncultured prokaryote. RNAcentral's name for it is "bacterial SSU rRNA". It matches the Rfam family "Archaeal small subunit ribosomal RNA", at positions 341 to 725 of the family's 1478-position model. The record is from RNAcentral.
GCGAAAACUUUACAAUGCUGGCAACAGCGAUAAGGGAACCUCGAGUGCCAGGUUACAAAUCUGGCUGUCGAGAUGCCUAAAAAGCAUUUCAUAGCAAGUGCCGGGCAAGACCGGUGCCAGCCGCCGCGGUAACACCGGCGGCUCGAGUGGUAACCGUUAUUAUUGGGUCUAAAGGGUCUGUAGCCGGCCGGAUAAGUCUCUUGAGAAAUCUGGCAGCUUAACUGUCAGGCUUUCAGGAGAUACUGUCUGGCUCGAGGCCGGGAGAGGUGAGAGGUACUUCAGGGGUAGGGGUGAAAUCUUGUGAGCCCUGAAGGACUACCAGUGGCGAAGGCGUCUCACCAGAACGGGACUGACGGCAAGGGGCGAAAGCUAGGGGCACGAACA